This 74-nucleotide transfer RNA is filed under the name Candidatus Photodesmus katoptron Akat1. It matches the Rfam family "tRNA". From Rfam's summary of the family: Transfer RNA (tRNA) molecules are approximately 80 nucleotides in length. The record is from Rfam by way of RNAcentral. Lineage: Bacteria; Pseudomonadati; Pseudomonadota; Gammaproteobacteria; Vibrionales; Vibrionaceae.
GCGCCCGUAGCUCAGAUGGAUAGAGCGUUGGCCUCCGGAGCCAAAAGCCGAAGGUUCGAUCCCUUUCGGGCGUG